GACGAACGCUGGCGGCGUGCUUAACACAUGCAAGUCGAACGGAAAGGCCCUGCUUUUGUGGGGUGCUCGAGUGGCGAACGGGUGAGUAACACGUGAGUAACCUGCCCUUGACUUUGGGAUAACUUCAGGAAACUGGGGCUAAUACCGGAUAGGAGCUCCUGCUGCAUGGUGGGGGUUGGAAAGUUUCGGCGGUUGGGGAUGGACUCGCGGCUUAUCAGCUUGUUUGUGGGGUAGUGGCUUACCAAGGCUUUGACGGGUAGCCGGCCUGAGAGGGUGACCGGCCACAUUGGGACUGAGAGACGGCCCAGACUCCUACGGGAGGCAGCAGGGGGGAAUAUUGCACAAUGGGCGGAAGCCUGAUGCAGCAACGCCGCGUGCGGGAUGACGGCCUUCGGGUUGUAAACCGCUUUCGCCUGUGACGAAGCGUGAGUGACGGUAAUGGGUAAAGAAGCACCGGCUAACUACGUG
Molecule: ribosomal RNA, 468 nt
Filed under: uncultured bacterium
Lineage: Bacteria
Description: partial 16S ribosomal RNA
Rfam family: Bacterial small subunit ribosomal RNA
Source: RNAcentral